Long non-coding RNA from Telopea speciosissima, 175 nucleotides. RefSeq lists it as uncharacterized. The transcript has 3 exons. Lineage: Eukaryota; Viridiplantae; Streptophyta; Magnoliopsida; Proteales; Proteaceae. The record is from RefSeq and is a predicted model, not a curated record.
UUUCCUUCCCAGCAUUGACCUUGGCUAAUGUAUUUACUAAGGGACUUGGUGGUAGGAUUUUUCAUUCUAUUGUUUUCAAGUUGAGCAUGUGUGAUAUCUAUGCACCAACUUGAGGGGGAGUGUUGUAAAUGGGUACAAGGGUAGAAUUGUCUUAUUAUCAUAUAGGGGUAAUUUG